AAAAGUGAUUCUGAGUUUUAGUCAGGUGGACAAGUAAAAUCAUGUCCUGUCAACUUGCAGUGUCUCACUACGCAGAAGGAUGAGUUAUAACAACCUCAACUUGAAGGGAAAUUGAAAACUUAAAAUAAGGUGUUCAUAUAACAACAAAACAUAGGUUCUUUCAAUUUUUUUGCCUCAUGCGCAUGUGCCAGAAUCUCUACGUCAUAAUGACGUACUACUUUAACGAAUUUGAACAAGAAGGCGCCAUCGCCAUUUUCUGCACGAGAGGACGAGAUCACUACAGGAGUUGCUGAUGGGAGAAAAAAGACGACGAAGGAGCUCUUAUUUGAACGACUACAGAUGGAUUUUUAUAACAACAAACCAAAGGAUGAGGACUGCAGCAUUGCUUGGGCUGCCGUGAUACAUGCGAGAGACUCCUUCUAAAUUCAUGAAGAUAUGCGAGCCCAGUGACCGUGAAAAGGAUGUGAUCAAGGGCGUGGUGAUCGGAGUCCUAGUGGUUGUGGAAAAUGUGAUGGAGCCUCUCCCAGAAUUCUACAAUGACGUUGCCCUGGUGAUUGAGGAAGAAGUGGUGAUGCGUCACCUGAGUGACAUACCUAAUGCUUUUCUGAACCUGAUGGGCCUGGUGUACGCAUUGUACAUUGACUUUCCAAAGGAAUUAAAAUUCACUUUUGAAGUGAUACAACGCUUGUUCAUUGGAGUGGGAUCACACUCUUGCACCGCAAGAGUUCACUCUUUGAAGAGCAAGUUGCUGAGAUAAGAAACUCUUUUCUUCUCCUUGCUACUAUAAGCACUUACACUGUUUUAAAGUUUAAGACCAUUGUUAUUUUAGAUAUUAUUGUUUUAAAGGGAUACUCCAUCGUUUUGUCAUAUUAAACUGUUAUUACCUUAAAGCAAUAGUUCACUUUGAAAUUAAGUUUUGAUAUGUUUUAGCUUACCUCAAGGGCAUCCAAGAUGUAGGUGUCUUUGUU
Paramisgurnus dabryanus is the source of this 968-nucleotide non-coding RNA. Lineage: Eukaryota; Metazoa; Chordata; Actinopteri; Cypriniformes; Cobitidae. The record is from RefSeq and is a predicted model, not a curated record.